RNAcentral lists this ribosomal RNA (472 nucleotides) under uncultured bacterium. RNAcentral's name for it is "bacterial SSU rRNA". It matches the Rfam family "Bacterial small subunit ribosomal RNA", at positions 30 to 514 of the family's 1533-position model. The record is from RNAcentral.
CGAACGCUGGAGGCGUGCUUAACACAUGCAAGUCGAACGAUGAAAUGGAGCUUGCUCCAUGGAUUAGUGGCGAACGGGUGAGUAACACGUGAAUAACCUGCCCUUAAUUUUGGAAUAACCCAGGGAAACCUGGGCUAAUACCGGAUAAGUAAACCUGUGGCAUCACAUGGUUUUGGAAAGUUUUUUCGAUUAAGGAUGGAUUCGCGGCCUAUCAGCUUGUUGGUGAGGUAAUGGCUCACCAAGGCGACGACGGGUAGCCGGCCUGAGAGGGUGAACGGCCACACUGGGACUGAGACACGGCCCAGACUCCUACGGGAGGCAGCAGUGGGGAAUAUUGCGCAAUGGACGAAAGUCUGACGCAGCGACGCCUCGUGAGGGACGAAGGUCUUCGGAUUGUAAACCUCUUUCAGCAGGGACGAAGCGAAGGUGACGGUACCUGCAGAAGAAGCACCGGCUAACUAUGUGCCAGCAG